This 454-nucleotide ribosomal RNA is filed under the name uncultured bacterium. RNAcentral describes it as "partial 16S ribosomal RNA". It matches the Rfam family "Bacterial small subunit ribosomal RNA", at positions 28 to 507 of the family's 1533-position model. The record is from RNAcentral.
GAUGAACGCUGACAGAAUGCUUAACACAUGCAAGUCAACUUGAACUUCGGUUUGGGUGGCGGACGGGUGAGUAACGCGUACAGAACUUGCCUCACAGAUAGGGACAACAUUUGGAAACGAAUGCUAAUACCUGAUAUUAUGAUUAUAUGGCAUCGUAUAAUUAUGAAAGCUAUAUGCGCUGUGAGAGAGCUUUGCGUCCCAUUAGCUAGUUGGAGAGGUUACGGCUCACCAAGGCGAUGAUGGGUAGCCGUCCUGAGAGGGUGAUCGGCCACAAGGGGACGGAGAAACGGCCAGUACGCAAACGGGAGGAAGAAGUGGGGAAUAUUGGAAAAAGGACCAAGAGUCUGAUACAGAAAUUCUGUGUGCAAGAUGAAGUUUUUCGGAAUGAAAAGUGCUUUCAGUUGGGAAGAAAAAAAUGACGGUACCAACAGAAGAAGUGACGGCUAAAUACGUG